CCUACGGGUGGCAGCAGUCGAGAAUCAUUCACAAUGGGGGAAACCCUGAUGGUGCGACGCCGCGUGGGGGAAUGAAGGUCUUCGGAUUGUAAACCCCUGUCAUGUGGGAGUAAAUCAAAAAGAUAGUACCACAAGAGGAAGAGACGGCUAACACUGUGCCAGCAGCCGCGGUAAUACAGAGGUCUCAAGCGUUGUUCGGAAUCACUGGGCGUAAAGCGUGCGUAGGCUGUUUCGUAAGUCGUGUGUGAAAGGUGCGGGCUCAACCCGCGGACGGCACAUGAUACUGCGAGACUAGAGUAAUGGAGGGGGAACCGGAAUUCUCGGUGUAGCAGUGAAAUGCGUAGAUAUCGAGAGGAACACUCGUGGCGAAGGCGGGUUCCUGGACAGUAACUGACGCUGAGGCACGAAGGCCAGGGGAGCGAAAGGGAUUAGAUACCCUAGUAGUC
Molecule: ribosomal RNA, 446 nt
Filed under: uncultured bacterium
Lineage: Bacteria
Description: partial 16S ribosomal RNA
Rfam family: Bacterial small subunit ribosomal RNA
Source: RNAcentral